Molecule: ribosomal RNA, 1032 nt
Filed under: uncultured bacterium
Lineage: Bacteria
Description: bacterial SSU rRNA
Rfam family: Bacterial small subunit ribosomal RNA
Source: RNAcentral
GCGANCUUUNCAUGCAAGUCGAACGGCAGCACGGGUGCUUGCACCUGGUGGCGAGUGGCGAACGGGUGAGUAACACAUCGGAACGUACCUGGUUGUGGGGGAUAGCCCGGCGAAAGCCGGAUUAAUACCGCAUACGAUCUCUGGAUGAAAGCGGGGGACCCUCGGGCCUCGCGCAGCCGGAGCGGCCGAUGGCAGAUUAGGUAGUUGGUGGGGUAAAGGCCUACCAAGCCUGCGAUCUGUAGCUGGUCUGAGAGGAUGAUCAGCCACACCGGGACUGAGACACGGCCCGGACUCCUACGGGAGGCAGCAGUGGGGAAUUUUGGACAAUGGGCGCAAGCCUGAUCCAGCCAUUCCGCGUGCAGGAUGAAGGCCUUCGGGUUGUAAACUGCUUUUGUGCAGAACGAAAAGGCUCUGGUCAAUACCCGGGGCUCAUGACGGUACUGCAAGAAUAAGCACCGGCUAACUACGUGCCAGCAGCCGCGGUAAUACGUAGGGUGCGAGCGUUAAUCGGAAUUACUGGGCGUAAAGCGUGCGCAGGCGGCUUUGCAAGACAGAGGUGAAAUCCCCGGGCUCAACCUGGGAAUUGCCUUUGUGACUGCACGGCUGGAGUGCGGCAGAGGGGGAUGGAAUUCCGCGUGUAGCAGUGAAAUGCGUAGAUAUGCGGAGGAACACCGAUGGCGAAGGCAGUCCCCUGGGCCUGCACUGACGCUCAUGCACGAAAGCGUGGGGAGCAAACAGGAUUAGAUACCCUGGUAGUCCACGCCCUAAACGAUGUCAACUGGUUGUUGGGCCUUAGCUGGCUCAGUAACGAAGCCAACGCGUGAAGUUGACCGCCUGGGGAGUACGGCCGCCANGGUUGAAACUCAAAGGAAUUGACNGGGAACCCCCNCAAGCGGUGGNAUGAUGUGGUUUUAAUUCGAUGCANCCCGAAAAACCUUACCCACCUUUNNANAUNUUACCGGAANUUGCCCAAAAAUGGCAGCCGNUGCCCCCAAAAGGGAANCCCGUAAACCCAAGGUUCCUUCCAUGGGC